GCUCCUGUCGUCUAGCCCGGUCAGGACACUUGGUUCUCAUCCAAGAAACACGGGUUCGAAUCCCGUCGGGAGCA
This 74-nucleotide transfer RNA is filed under the name Patescibacteria group bacterium. RNAcentral describes it as "tRNA-Glu". It matches the Rfam family "tRNA". From Rfam's summary of the family: Transfer RNA (tRNA) molecules are approximately 80 nucleotides in length. Their secondary structure includes four short double-helical elements and three loops (D, anti-codon, and T loops). The record is from RNAcentral.